This 305-nucleotide ribosomal RNA is filed under the name uncultured bacterium. RNAcentral describes it as "bacterial SSU rRNA". It matches the Rfam family "Bacterial small subunit ribosomal RNA", at positions 333 to 655 of the family's 1533-position model. The record is from RNAcentral.
UCGCACCUACGGGGGGCAGCAGUCGGGAAUAUUGCGCAAUGGAGGAAACUCUGACGCAGUGACGCCGCGUAUAGGAAGAAGGUUUUCGGAUUGUAAACUAUUGUCGUUAGGGAAGAUAAAAGACAGUACCUAAGGAGGAAGCUCCGGCUAACUACGUGCCAGCAGCCGCGGUAAUACGUAGGCGGCGAGCGUUAUCCGGAAUGAUUGGGCGUAAAGGGUGCGUAGGCGGUCGAUUAAGUCUGGAGUGAAAGGUACCGGCUCAACCGGUAUAGGCUCCGGAAACUGAUGGACUGGAGUACAGGAGG